Molecule: small nuclear RNA, 201 nt
Filed under: Oncorhynchus mykiss (rainbow trout)
Lineage: Eukaryota; Metazoa; Chordata; Actinopteri; Salmoniformes; Salmonidae
Description: U2 spliceosomal RNA (ENSOMYG00000018519.2)
Rfam family: U2 spliceosomal RNA
About the family: U2 is a small nuclear RNA (snRNA) component of the spliceosome (involved in pre-mRNA splicing).
Source: RNAcentral
AUAAUUUUGUAUUGUAUCAAUGUAUCAAUAAUAAAAAAUAAAAAUAAAAACUCUUCAACAGUUUAAUAUCUGAUACGUUCCCCACCGGGGGACUACAUAUUAAAUGGAUUUUUCUAACAGGGAGUCGAAAAAUGGGGCUUGCUCCGUCCACUCCACGCAUCGACCCGGUAUUGCAGUUCCUCUGGGAACGGUGCAACACUU